Molecule: ribosomal RNA, 506 nt
Filed under: uncultured bacterium
Lineage: Bacteria
Description: partial 16S ribosomal RNA
Rfam family: Bacterial small subunit ribosomal RNA
Source: RNAcentral
AUUGAACGCUGGCGGCAGGCCUAACACAUGCAAGUCGAACGGCAGCGGGAAGUAGCUUGCUACUUUGCCGGCGAGUGGCGGACGGGUGAGUAAUGUCUGGGAAACUGCCUGAUGGAGGGGGAUAACUACUGGAAACGGUGGCUAAUACCGCAUGACGUCGCAAGACCAAAGAGGGGGACCUUCGGGCCUCUUGCCAUCGGAUGUGCCCAGAUGGGAUUAGCUAGUAGGCGGGGUAAUGGCCCACCUAGGCGACGAUCCCUAGCUGGUCUGAGAGGAUGACCAGCCACACUGGGACUGAGACACGGCCCAGACUCCUACGGGAGGCAGCAGUGGGGAAUAUUGCACAAUGGGCGCAAGCCUGAUGCAGCCAUGCCGCGUGUGUGAAGAAGGCCUUCGGGUUGUAAAGCACUUUCAGCGAGGAGGAAGGGGUUGAACUUAAUACGUUCAAUCAUUGACGUUACUCGCAGAAGAAGCACCGGCUAACUCCGUGCCAGCCGCCGCAGUAA